CUUGGCCAGGUCGCGGUUGGCGAAGGCGCCUGUGGGCGUCCGCCCGUACCUGACCUGGUCCGCCAUCUGCCGGCCCAGCGUGCGGUCCCCCGUCUGCCAAGGCAGCGUCCAGCUAGCCCGCUUGCCCGUUGACCCCAGGCCGCCCGUGCUGCCGCCCGCGAAGCCGCCGCCCGCGAAGCUGCCGCCGCCGGUGGUGAUGGGCGGCAGCUGCCCCGUGCCGGAGGGCGAAACCGGGGCGCUGCUGCUGUAAUAGGCGGCACCGGCGGAGUCCGCUGGUUGUUGCUGGCUGGGGCUGUGGGCGUCGCUGGCGAGCUGCUGGGAGUGGUGGCUGUAGCGCCCAGUGGCGCCGCCGCCGCCGCCGCCGCCCGGCUGUAGCAGGCCGCUGCCGCCGCGCAUGGUCGCCACGGCGCUGUGGGUGAUGUUGGUGCCGUCGUAGGUGGCGGGCGGCACCUGUAGGGGUGAGGUACAGGUGUGUGUGUGUGUGUGUGUGUGUGUGUUGAUGCGUGUGUGUAUAUAUAUAUAUAUGUGUGUGUGUGUGUGUGUGUGUGUGUGAGCGCGGAUGUCAUCCAGCAAACGCACGCACCGUAUUCCGCAAUGCCCUUUAACACACGUACACACAUGCACGCACACUCGUCCAUGCGCACCUGCUUCUCGUGCAGUGCGGGGUUGACCGGGUUGAAGAACUGGCCCGUGGGCGUGCGCUUGUUGUUGGUCUGCGCCGCCAUCUGCCGGGACUCAGCCUCCUGUCCCUGCACCCACACAGACAACCAGGUUGGCGUCGGCGUUCGAGACUAUGGGGUGAAGUUGUGGGCGAGCUGUCAUGUUGUACUACAUGAGGUGUAGCAAUUGUAUAUGUGUAUGUGCCAGUUGCGAGUGAGGGUCGCGCUGCAGCGGCAUAGGCGACAAAACCUGCCUGCAACACCCAGUCUCGCCCAGCCAGCCCUGUUGGCACUCACCUCUAGAGCAGUGUACGAGCCGAUGGGCCUCUCCACCUGCGGAGCAGCAUUGCGAGUGACAGACCUUAUGUCUAGGCGCCCCGGCAGCGACAGCAAAUGGUGUGCGGGAUGCGCGCGGCGGGGGAGGACAGCGGCGCCACUCCGACCCAACGCGGGCAACGCCUGAAGGCCCGGUGCAGUGGUGGCUUACCGGCUCUCGCACGGGCCGAAUACCCGUCCCUGCCGUUGGCAUAGUCGCUCCAUAGAUUCGCUUGUUUUCCUACAUUCAGGGAGCGGGGUCUCAGUCCCAGGAGCGCCUCCUUCGAUGGCCCUUAUACGCAUGGCGUCCCCGGAGGAUAUGUGGGCUUACCUCCGAGUAAUCGUGGAGCAAGUAGUUGAGAUGCUUCCUUCGGUCUGACGACAAUGCUAGUUUAUCGUGUUGCGUGCAGGCGAACGAGGGGUAGCCCAUGGUCCUUGCGCUGUGACUCGAUAGGCGGAGCUUUAUGAUUAGGUUUUGAAGUUGAGUCGCUAAGUAUGGAAUUGUUAACCUGAACGCUGGCAAGCUGUGCGACUUGUGCAUCAAGGCCUGCAUCGGUGCGUGCUGCUCGCUGGACGGGAAUCGUCGUGGUAACCUAUAGUUUCACGUAUGCCAUAACUUGAUGUACUAGCAACUUUGACUGCAUAUCCCUGUUUCCCGCCUCGCUCGGACCGUCGUCCCCAAACACGAGCUUUCGCGGUGCUUCUUUGGAGCUGAUUGGUAUCAGCUCACCUUACUUCACCAAAAUCACCUGCACCACCAUAGGCGCUUUCUCGGCAACGCAGUUGGGCGAGGACCGCCUCGGAAGCCUGAGACGAUGGCUGGAAAGCAGUGUAUGACGCGGUUGCAAAAGGAGUACAAGAGCUUGUUGAAGGUGGGAGGACUGGCGAUGGCGCUAGCGUAGCCGCGACACCGUUGGCUGGGCUGUCGAAACCCCACGCUUCAGCUCCCAUACAGCCCCGGGUUGUCCGGGAGCCCAGCUCUGGAGCUGCUGGGGGCUCUGUGCGCCCAGGCCAUGACCAGAUAGCAAGGCGUAGCCUGCACUGUAGUGAAGCGUUGGCGCAUAUGAGCUCGGGGUCGCGGUGUCAUUUACGAAGGAGCAUUCCUGCUCCGCGUAUCCGAUCGAAAACUCCGGUUCAAUGUUGGCCACGCAGGACCCGGUGCCGCACAUCACCGCGCAUCCCUCGCCCUCCAACCUACUCGAGUGGCACUUCGUGCUCGAAGGCGCCAAGGUAAGGACAGCCGUACACGCACACACACGCGGCAGCACCUGGCGCUGUUAGCUGGCCCGCUCCGUGUCGUACACAGCCAUCGGGCGGUGUUGGCGUUGUUCUGGCCAUUCUGCGGUGGUUGCGGACUUGGAGUGGGCGGCCAAGCCGAUGCAGACGUCGUGCUGGUGCAAGGGAGACGCGGCGUCUGGGUCGGACCCUCGCACCGGCUGCGGCGUGCAGGCGGUGUCACCGGAGCCGGCCAGGCACCCUCUAUCCCGGCCGGCUCUGUGGGACCGGUUGCGAGUCUGGACACGCAUCCACGCAUCCAUCUCCCCCAUUUCCACCUCGCCUCAUGCCUGCCCCAUCCUCUACAGGGCACGGAGUACGACGGCGGCGUGUAUCACGGCAAGCUGGUGUUCCCCGCGGACUACCCCUUCAAGCCGCCCUCCAUCUCGCUGUUCACGCCUAACGGCCGCUUCGCCACCAACACCAAGCUGUGCCUGUCCAUGACCGACUACCACCCGGAGGUGGGGCGGGCAGGCAGGCAGCGGGGCGGGGUGAGGGGUGGGGUGGGGGUGCAGCCCGCAGGCGGGCAGCAGCGCGGCAGCAGGGCUUGGGGUGGGGGGAGGCAGGCAGGCAGGCAGACAGGCAGCUGGGCGGGGCGAGGGGUGGGGGGGGGGGUGCAGCCCGCAGGCAGACAGGCAGGCAGCAGGGCGGCAGCAGGGCGGAGGGGGGGGGCGCAGCCCGCAGGCACGCAGGUGGAGUGGCAGGGCGGCAGGGCGGGAGCGGGGCAAUGUGGAAGGAGGAUGUGGAGGGCUGGGGUUGCCUAGCUUACCCCGCCUUGAAUCGGAGCCAGUCGGAGCAGCCUAAACCGGUUCGCUGAAUCUCGCACGCGCCCAACCCGCCUGCUCCCCGCCUUGAACUCCCCUCCCCCUACCCCUACCUGCCUACGACUUCACUUCUUUAAUUCAUCAUGAAUGUAAGCCCCCUCCCUGCACCUUCGCCUCCGCUGCAGAGCUGGAACCCCAUGUGGAGCGUGGGCACCAUAUUGACGGGGCUACUCAGCUUCAUGUACGACACACAGGUGAGGGGGGGAGGGGCAGACGUACGGCAGACGUACGGCAGGCAAAUGGCGGGGGUGGGGAGCGUACGGCAGGCAGUUGGCCGGGCAGGGCGGGGCCGGUCAGGCACCGCACGCGCAGCUGCGCAGCGUUGGUGGGGUUCUCCGCGGCUGGGUGGUGUACUGGUGUUGAUAUGGCGGGGCAGGGCGCAGCGGUCGCGGUCGCAGCGGUGGCGGUGUGGCCACAGGUGCGGUGCGCCCCGGCCUCAUCCAGGUACCGUAGUUCACCCGCCCAUCCACACACGCCACCAACGGCCCAUCCGCCCAGGCCACCACGGGGAGCAUCACCACCUCGCGCGCGGAGAAGGAGCGGCUGGCAGCGGAGAGCCUGGCCUUCAACGCCAAGAACCCCACCUUCAGGAAGCUCUUCCCAGCCUGGAUUGAGGAGCUCACGCGGCGAGCCACGGCGGCGGCGCAGCCUGCACCGGCGCAGCAGGCGCAGGCACACGCGCAGGCGCAGCAGGAGCAAGCCAACGGGGAAGUGAGUGGGCAAGCGAACGGACACGCAAACGGCGACGUGGCGGCUGCGAAUGGGGGAGGAGGGAUCUUUGGCGCGGCGCGGCAGGGCGGCGGGGAGCAGCAGAACGGGCAAGCCGGCGGGCGCGGCGGCGCGCCGCCGGGGCGGGGGCUGGGGAAUUCGGUGGUGACGCUGGCCGUUGUGGUGGCGGUGCUGGCGGUGGUGUGGGUGAGCAGCGGCAGCGGCGGCGGCGGAGCGCUGUGGCAGUCCAUAUUCUCACAGGGGGCCGCGGCCGGCGGGCACGCAGGACCCCGCUGAGCCCGUGCCUUCCUCAGCGUGUGAACGUACAACUGGCUGAGGGUAGCAGACGGCAGGACGGUGGUCAGGUGCCGGCGGUACGGUCAGCUCAGUUAGUUGCGCAUGAGGUUAGGGUUAGGGCAUGAGCACGGUAGCUCAUUCAAUCAGCGUCGGGCAGUAACCUUUAUGCCGGCGAAAUGACGAUGGUGACGGUGCAUGGCGGACGGCGGGAUCAACACAGGUUCUGAGCUGCGCCUCCGGGGCCGCAGCGGGCGAGCACAGACAGAGGUGCAUAAAACCAGUAGUACGCAACGCGGGGGCUCUAGCAUAUAGCUGUGGACGCUGCCGGUACAUGGUGCUUGCAGAGUGUCUUGUGUGUUCGCAGGCGCGUGUGUGGUAUGAUGGCAACAUAGUGUGCCGGGGGGAAGUGGACGCAGGAUGUUCUGUUGGCUUGACACUUUGACGUGCCGUACGGUGGUGCGGGCCCGCCGGGACUGUAUGCGCGGCGAUAGCUGUCGUAUAGGACAGUCAGCAAAUACACACCCAGAUGCCCUGGCCGGGCGCCCGGAGCGUGAGUGUUGAGUUCUGGUCGGUUCUGGGUGGCCGUGCUCGCUAGUAGUGUUACAGUGGCACUUGUAUAGCGAUAUACACGACACCAAACUGGUAAAGACUAUGCCCUAUAUAUGGCUCUAGAUCGCCUUCUAUACCCAUCGUAAGGCACGUACCCGGGACUCCCACGGUCUCCCCGCCGUGUCCCCACGUCCCAUACUCCAGUGUUCUGACCGAAUACCCGCUAGUCCUCAACAGUGAGGAAUGCACAUCAGCAAACUUCCAGCCAGCCAGCAACUUGUCGGUACAGUAACUCCGGCGUUCGACCAGCCAUGCACUUCUGCAGUUCUGCUCUGCCACUGCAAACUGUUUGUUGUCUGCUUGGGGUACGGGCGUCAGCUGCACCCUAUGGGACCUCGCCAACCUGCCUGAACCCUGUCCCAUCACACACCCAGAUGCCCAGGGCAUGUUCCGCAGCAGAAUGUGGCGUGGACGGGUAAAGCACAAUGCCUUCGCCGCACAGGUCAAACUCCAUCUGUAAGGUCCAAAAUCUCGCGCUCGGUGUUCUGGCCCUCUUAAAUUAUGGGGCGUCCCGCCCACAAAACGGCAGCUCUCGUGGGCAAAUCAAAUGUUCUUCGAUGGGGCUGGAGCUCCGCCAGAGCUGGGUGUCGGGUAGCUGCGGGGGUACUGUAGGUAGUGAAUGUAGCCUGCUCAGGCUCACACGGGCACGAGCACCUGGGAAUGGGUGUGCCGUCUGCGACUGAGGGAGCAGGGCACACGUAAGACUGGUAGUUGGGAGGGAUAUGGCACAUUGGCACUGUGGCUGCUGCCCCGCAGUGCUGCAAUACCGCGCCCCUGGCCCAUCGCGCCACCAUUUGUCCGGAAACUCGCAGUCAGGACAUCACCCGCACAAAGCAGACUUUCGGGGCGUUCUUAAGCGCAGUCUUGAUGUGAGUGCGGAACAGCACGGAAGACAGCAAUCACUGCCCCCCACGAGCUUGCCACUGCUGCCAACCCUAGCACGCUGAUUCCUGCGUAGGUAGGCUUGUCACCGAAGGUUUGCUUCAUGAACAGAUGAGCUCUGAAGCUGAAAACAUACCCUGUUUCUGCAGAUUUCCUAGCGGUGUACCUCCUAUUCCGCAGCACUGCAUGGCGUGUUCACAUCUCCAGAAUGACUUGCCGUGGUUACACACCAAGGACAAAGGAACAUGUACAGAGCAGAAUUAUGUAUCACUGCGUGUGUAUUACACGCCGUGCUGUUGCGAGCCACUCCAGAAGAGCUGCAUGCCUAAGCUUGAGAAUACACGUGGCAAACUGGGGUUGCCAAAUGUGCGGAGAUUGAUUAUCUCCUGUCCUGUUUUCUACGUUGAUCGUCUUCUCUUGGGGGAAAACCGCCUAAUCCAUCAAACCGCACACAGGCGCGCAACGCGCUGGAAGCAGCGUGCGGCCAAACACACAAGCCACAUCAUCCAAGCGGAGCGGCAGGGCGGCCCAGUGCAGACAACAAAAACUGCACCGGCACACCCGCGCACUCCCGUGCACUGCCCUCAGUACCACUCCUCCAGGCGCCCACUCUUAGGCCACCGGAGGUUGCACCCGUACAGCGCGUCCUUCGCACACGGACCCGAGUUGACACGACAGUCACACGUGUUCUAGGUUCCGACGCGUCACACCACCGCUUGCAUUGCAACCGACGCAACCGCUGCUCCUCACUCCAAAGCCGCUUACAUUCUCCCCAUCCUCAUGCUGCUGCUGCAGCAGCUCCAGAGAUGGCCGAAAAUUCAGCUGUUAGGUGGAAAGAAGAGGGCGCUUACAGGACGGCGGCCAGGACGGAGUCCAGCUUGGCCUUGGUGAUCUCCAGCUUCUUGGCGGCGGAGGCCUGGUCCUUCUCGCGCAGGGCGAAGUCCAGGUCCUCAACGGCCUGGAUGAACUCCUUGCGCAGGCCCAGGGCGGCCUUCUUGGCCUCCUUCUCCUUGGUCGAGGCCAGGGUGUUCAGGUCGAAGCGCAGGGUGCCGACCUGGCGGCGCAGCUGCUCGCGAGCCUCAGUCCUGUUGCGAGGGAAGGGGCAGGGUGGUGGGGAGGGAAGGUCAGCAUCCCGUGUGUCGGAAUUCGUUUUGAUCCGUAUUAUGGUUGCUCCUGUAGCAUUUGAACUUUCUUGCGGAUGCCCGUACCCAAGCCGUAUUAGGUCGCGCUGGAAACCCUGAGCAAGCAUAUUGGCCCCGUCUCGACGACAUCGCGCUCACCAGUAGGACUUCUGGAUGAACACGUCCAGGUCAGCGUCGAUGCGGGCCUCAGACUCCUUCACGCGCUUCUUGGUCUCGUCCAGGGAAGCGCGAGCCUGGGUGAAGCCCUCGCGGACGUUCUGGGGCAGGUCCAGGUCGCUGCACGCAUACAGCAUAGAUCGCACUUAUUAUUGAAGCGCUAUCCCAAACGAUAUCGACAGCUGAUUGAGAUCAGCUGGAAACAUGCCGCACCUUUUGCGGGUGCAACAUGCCAACGCAAGUCCCGACUUACCGGGCCUCGUAGAUCAGGUCGAAGCCGCGGUCGCGAACCGAGCGGUCAUCGAACAGGUCGACGGGGGUCAGAGCAAGGGCAGCCUUGGGGGCCACGGCGGCGACAGCGCUCGCCAGCAGACCGCCCAGCACCUGCGCGCAAAGAUAACGCCAGAUCAGUCCCAGCUCCAUUCACAAACGCGGCCUAAUGCCCCCACGACAUUUCAUUCUUGUCUUACCGCGCGGCGCGACUCGCCGGAGGCGCGCACAACCACGGCACCCCUGCGAAACGAAACAUUGAAAGCGUGUCAAGCUUCCGACGCUUCCCAGGGCGCAUAAUCUGCAGAUCUAGCGCCACAGCUGCCUUGAUAGCAGCAUCCUGUUGCUGAGCUGGCUCGUUUACGCUAUGGCUGCGCCUUGAGCUCGCUGAAAUGCUCACCGGCGGGAGGCCACGGCGGGGCGGGUAGCAACCUUAGAGGCGAGGGCCAUCUUUGCUAUUAGGUUGAAGUGGUUGCGGAGAAGUGACAGACGAUGCUUGCGAGCGA
Molecule: long non-coding RNA, 7643 nt
Filed under: Chlamydomonas reinhardtii
Lineage: Eukaryota; Viridiplantae; Chlorophyta; Chlorophyceae; Chlamydomonadales; Chlamydomonadaceae
Description: long non-coding RNA (CREI_LNC000705)
Source: RNAcentral